GCUCGUAGUUGAAUUUCAAGGGUUUUUUUCGUAGCUAGCCAUUGUUCCCUUUGCGGUCAAUGUGCAUUUGGCUACAGGCCCUUUUUUUCUGCUAGGAGAUGCGGCUCUUCUGCUUGUCAGCGGGGCUGCAGUUUUCCUAGCACUUUUACUUUGAAAAAAUUAGAGUGUUCAAAGCAGGCUUUUUCUUUGCCUGAAUAUCUUAGCAUGGAAUAAUAGAAUAGGACUUUGGUUCUAUUUUGUUGGUUUCUAGGACUAGAGUAAUGAUUAAUAGGGAUAGUUGGGGGCAUUAGUAUUUAAUUGUCAGAGGUGAAAUUCUUGGAUUUAGGAAAGACUAACUUCUGCGAAAGCAUUUGCCAAGGAUGUUUUCAUUAAUCAAGAAC
Molecule: non-coding RNA, 380 nt
Filed under: Allomyces macrogynus ATCC 38327
Lineage: Eukaryota; Fungi; Blastocladiomycota; Blastocladiomycetes; Blastocladiales; Blastocladiaceae
Description: Eukaryotic small subunit ribosomal RNA
Rfam family: Eukaryotic small subunit ribosomal RNA
Source: Rfam by way of RNAcentral